This 256-nucleotide ribosomal RNA is filed under the name uncultured bacterium. RNAcentral's name for it is "partial 16S ribosomal RNA". It matches the Rfam family "Bacterial small subunit ribosomal RNA", at positions 793 to 1055 of the family's 1533-position model. The record is from RNAcentral.
GUCCACGCCGUAAACGAUGGAUACUAGCUGUUGGGAGCGAUCUCAGUGGCUAAGCGAAAGUGAUAAGUAUCCCACCUGGGGAGUACGGGCGCAAGCCUGAAACUCAAAGGAAUUGACGGGGGCCCGCACAAGCGGUGGAGCAUGUGGUUUAAUUCGAUGAUACGCGAGGAACCUUACCAAGGCUUAAAAUGUAGGUUGACAGGACUGGAAACAGUUUUUCCUUCGGGCAAUUUACAAGGUGCUGCAUGGUUGUCGU